Molecule: non-coding RNA, 4292 nt
Organism: Phalacrocorax carbo (great cormorant)
Lineage: Eukaryota; Metazoa; Chordata; Aves; Suliformes; Phalacrocoracidae
Source: RefSeq, a predicted model, not a curated record
UGUAGCUGCAUCCUGCUGAUGAAAUCAAAGUUAGAUUUAGACUUGUUUCAAGAAGAAUCACCGUUCCAAAUUAUAUCCCUUAAAAGUCUAAUUUAUAGUUACCUAUUGAAAAGUUAUUCAGUGUAGAAACUUCCAGAAAAGGAGACAAGAAGACGGGCACGAAGCCUCGUUUUUACAACCAUCGGUGCAGAACUUGAAUCUGUGGCCCAAACACACAAAGAUUUGGGUGUUUCGGUGGGAGAAAAGUGUUAUUAACAUGGGAAACCAGUCCUUAAGCGGGGGUGGUUCUUCACUAAAAGAAAGUUUGAUUUCUUCACGACGUGAAAAGGGACCCUCUUGCCCUGUUCACUAAAGCAUCAGCUGUUGAUGACCCUGAACGAAGAACAGAUGCACAGCGUGGCAGAGCGGUAAUAAAAAAAGAAAUACAUGUAGAAAAUAAACCAAACUUUACCAAAACUGUUUCAGGCUCUGCCCGCGUUGAAGGAAGAGGCGUGCUCUGUGCUGCCCUGGACUUGGGAGGAACAGCAAGAACGUACAAAAAGCAAAAUUCCUCGAACGGAGUCGGUUCCAGGCGGCGACGAAGCAGCUGGGCUGAGCUUGUCCACAAACCUGCCAACGCAGCCCGGGGUUGUUCAACUGUUCAGCUUUUGCAGAGGCAAAUGGCUGUUAAAAUCAUCGGCCUUUGCAAAGCAACUGAAAAGUUCUCAUGUUUCGUUUGUUUUAAUUAACUUUCACUUAAAGGCCGUUUGGCAAAACAAUGAGUAAAAAUUGUUGUCGUGAAAAAAGGGUGCAUUUAACAAAAUCUGAGCGCAUGUGUGGGAGCUGUAUGUGGGAAGAGCUUAAAAGUGCGCAGGGAGGGUGUGUCCUGUUUACAAAAAGUAGCCUUAAAUUUAAGGUGAAGAAGCUGGAAAGUGUAAAUCAGGUGCCUAAAGGUUUCACCCAUUGCCUUCCGUAAGAAAAAUGAAACCGCAAAUGCAAACUAGGAUAAAACUGAUUCGCUCAAAAGAUGCUUCUUGUCUGCUAAUUGAAACCAGGAUUAAAAUGACUGAUUUAAAUUAAUUCAAGCAGGCUAAUAAGAACCAUCAGUUCCACCCCUCCCUUCUGGAGCGAGAUAAAGCCAGGAGCUCCCAGCCUCCUGCUAGAGCGGGGCCGGGGGCCGUCACGGCUGAUGCUUUAGGGAAUUUGGUGCUGGCUGCUGCUGAAGGCGAGCUAGCAGGUGAGAUGGAGACAGCCCUGUCCAUAAGGGUCGUUUCUAAGCCUGACUAGCAAAGCCAGCUCUGGCCCGGCGUACAGUUAAUUAAAUUUUAUCUCUUCUUAUCUGCAAGCGGGUUUGUCUUUAGUUCACCAGGCUGGGGAUGGGCUGGAAGCUGUGGCUUAAGGGAGAAGGAUCACUGCCAGUUUGUCACGGAGCUAAAAGUACCGCUGGAAAGGAGGGUUUGGGGGGUUUCUGCUUGUUUGUUUGUUUGUUUUCCAGUCUUUCAUUUAAAAACAUGACCUGCGAUGUGCUUCCUGUGAGGUUUGCUGGUGUCUUAUAUAGCCGAGAAGGGGCUGUGCCCGAGCAGCAAACAGGUGUUGCGCAGAGGCAGCCCGAGUGUCCCGGGGAGGGGAAAUGCUGCGAAAAAGCUUCCUUCGCUGGGAGUGUCGUAUUUUACACUAGGACGUGGCCGAGUCCCGGGGCAGCCAGGGCACGCCGUGGCGCACCAUGUAACGAGUUAAACAGCAGAAGGGAUGUGGGGUCCGGCUGCAUCCUUCCUCCUACACAAAGGCAGGAUGCGGUAGCCCCUCGGGCAGAGGGGAGGUAGCCAUCGCUCACGAAAUCGAUGCCGGCAUUGUGUGCGGCGUCAUGGCGCGGGAGGUGGGAGGCGGGGGGUGAGACGGGAGCGAGCCGGAGCUGGCGGCGCGGGCACGAGGGCCGCUGACAGCGAUACGGACGUGUGAUGCAACCCGUUUGGAGACAGACCUUGCUAUUGCAUUCAGACAAGGAAAGCGGACACCUCGCUGUUAUCCAGGACAGAGAUGAGCGAAGGUAGUUGUGUGAAAAGGGAAUAAUUGGCAUGUUUCGAGGGAGAAGAGGGCAUUAUCCAGGAGGAGACCGUCUCCACGGGCGCAGGGCUCGUGUUGGUGGUCUGUGGGUUCCCGUGGCCACCACUGAGUAAAUCUCACCGCUGAACAAAAAAGCCCUUCGCCCUCCCAAGGGCAGUCGGACUAUUUCAGCCAGAGCAUCCCAUGAGCUAAGUCACCCCAGCGCCUCCUCGCUGCUCCGGAUCGGCUGUCGGGGAGGCUCCAGGCGCCGGCCUGAGCCGAAAGCGCUGCUCUCCAGCUACAAGGCUUUGCUGCGUCACUCGCCCAAAUCACGCUGCGUGCACAGAGCACCUUGUCUCCAGGUUGGCAGCGGGGACCUGGCCCUUCUCCAGCUGCUGCUUCCUUCCUCCCCGCCCUCAGCGCAGCGUCCAGCGCCUUCCACUGCCCGCGCAGCGCUGCGCGGGUACCGCAGCAAUUGUUGAUCUAAUUCACUGCUCGGUGUCCUUUCCUGGGUGUUUUCUGCUGGGGGAGGAGGGGGAAGAUGAGGUUGGUGCAGACUCACUGUGUAAAGCCAGGCCAGUCAUGGGACCCCUCCCUCCUGCCUCCGUUUCCCCGUCAGCACAGCAGGUUUAGCUUUCCCAGGUGGCGUAAUGAAGAUUCAUAUCAAUAAAAGGCUCGGCCAUGCUCAUGUGAUUAACAUCAUUUUCUGAUGACUGAUCCUUUUGGCUGUUAAAGAGGUGAUUUUGCUGCGGUGAGGCCAAGGAGCAGCACCCGUGAGUACCGUGGCAGGAAUACCCCAGGGCUUCGGGAUGCAUUUACUCCUAUAACACUUUUCCUAGAGCUCCCCGAGGCACCUGGUGCUGGGGUCCCCCAUGGCCAGAUCCCAAAACUGGAUAAAGUUCAGGCUUGGCUGGGAAAGAGAGUAGAGGAACAAAGAUUUACAGGUGCAGGGAUCAGGGCAAGCGGCAAAAAAAUGCCCUCCUGGCUGUGCCAUUCAAUUAAAAAUAAAAAAGCGGCAACGGGCCGCGCACGCAGGACGGGCUGGGGCUGGCGGGAGUCGCUGCAGCUCCCGGCCAUCGCCGCGGGCCUUUGCAGCUGCCUUUGCCCGGCUUGGCCUUGCGCCGGCACCGGCGCCGUGCGGCUCCGGCAGGACCUUCCCUGCGCGGCUGCGGCAGGACCAUGGCUCUGAACGCCGCUAUUGUGAGCCCCGCAGCCGCCCGGCUCCGCUGGGGAAGGGGCCCCGGCUCCCCACCUUUCCGGGUAAGCUGUGGCGAUGCUGCAGGUCGAAAGGCUGCGGCGGGAGAGUCCCGAGACAAGCCAACAGCGCCGAGUCCCGCAUCCUCCGAGCCCCGGUGCUCCUGCCACGUGUCCUGCGAAGGUAAAUGCCUGCUCUCAGGUUAUAAAAGGUCCAGGUCCCCCCUGCUCCUUCCUGCACCCACUGCGAUGGCCAUGGCUCUCUUUGCCGUGGAUGUGUUACACCCACCUGCUAUCAACCACAAACCUUUUGAUUUUUGUAAAAAAAGAUAAAAUUAGCAUCUACCGCUGGACGUGAGGCCCCCAAAGGAAGAAAAAAAAUGCUCUGAAGUCCCUGCCUGCAUCAACCUGGUCUGUCUGCGGAAAUUUUUCCUCUGGGCUUUGCUGUCGUGGCUGAGAGAUUUUUCCAGCGAUGCAGCUGGUGCGGUGGGGGUUCGGGGAGGGGGGCUCUGGGACCCCACUUCUGCCUGUGCUGGACACCAGUUUUCCAGCUGGGUAAGCAGGCGGCUGGACGCUGGCAAGGUGCCACGCGGAUCUCCUCAAUACCAAGGAAGAAGCAAGGCGGUGUUUGGAUGGAACCAGCAGCCCCGGUUUAUCUUGGCCGACGGCAGGUGGGUAUUUGCCGGCGGAGCCUGGGCGGCACCAGCCCCUUCUCCAGCUCCUCCCGCGGUGGCCUCUGGGCUCCGUGUUGCCACCGCAGCCCGGCAGGGUCCCCGUGGCAGCCACCCUCCGCGCCCUGACCACGCGCCCACUGGAGAUGGAGGCAUCGAGGGUGCCAGAAGCAAGGAGCAGAGUUCCCCAGCAGCGGCCGUGGUGGUCUCUGCGGCGAUGCGCCGUGUGUUGGACCGUGGGUGCUGGGACCGAGGAUGGGUGAGGUGCCACUGCCCAGCCUUGGGGUGGGCUUGUGCUCCGGCUUUCUGCGGUGUGCAGGAGCUGAGACAGAGCUGCGCUACCAGCUGGCAAGGAAAUAACCCCACGGAGCUUUGUCCUCAGUGGGAUGGGGAUGGGGCCUCUGU